AGCUUCACACAGUGGUAAUAUCAUAACCAGUGAGGUCUAGCUAGGCACAAUUAUUGCUAAUUGAAAACUUUUCCCACUGCCCCACCAUGACAAGUUGCAAUAUAGUCAGCACUGGCAAUUUUUGACAGUUUGUAUGGAGA
Molecule: small nuclear RNA, 140 nt
Organism: Microcebus murinus (gray mouse lemur)
Lineage: Eukaryota; Metazoa; Chordata; Mammalia; Primates; Cheirogaleidae
Gene: U4
Rfam family: U4 spliceosomal RNA
About the family: U4 small nuclear RNA (U4 snRNA) is a component of the major U2-dependent spliceosome. The structure of U4 snRNA from yeast and human has been reported.
Source: Ensembl